AUUGAACGCUGGCGGCAGGCCUAACACAUGCAAGUCGAACGGUAACAGGAAGCAGCUUGCUGCUUUGCUGACGAGUGGCGGACGGGUGAGUAAUGUCUGGGAAACUGCCCGAUGGAGGGGGAUAACUACUGGAAACGGUAGCUAAUACCGCAUAACGUCGCAAGACCAAAGAGGGGGACCUUAGGGCCUCUUGCCAUCGGAUGUGCCCAGAUGGGAUUAGCUAGUAGGUGGGGUAACGGCUCACCUAGGCGACGAUCCCUAGCCGGUCUGAGAGGAUGACCAGCCACACCGGAACUGAGACACGGUCCAGACUCCUACGGGAGGCAGCAGUGGGGAAUAUUGCACAAUGGGCGCAAGCCUGAUGCAGCCAUGCCGCGUGUAUGAAGAAGGCCUUCGGGUUGUAAAGUACUUUCAGCGGGGAGGAAGGGAGUAAAGUUAAUACCUUUGCUCAUUGACGUUACCCGCAGAAGAAGCACCGGCUAACUCCGUG
RNAcentral lists this ribosomal RNA (490 nucleotides) under uncultured bacterium. RNAcentral's name for it is "partial 16S ribosomal RNA". It matches the Rfam family "Bacterial small subunit ribosomal RNA", at positions 30 to 507 of the family's 1533-position model. The record is from RNAcentral.